Long non-coding RNA from Passer domesticus (house sparrow), 319 nucleotides. RefSeq lists it as uncharacterized. The record is from RefSeq and is a predicted model, not a curated record. Lineage: Eukaryota; Metazoa; Chordata; Aves; Passeriformes; Passeridae. The transcript has 3 exons.
ACAGGGAAUCUGCAGUGGGUCUGUCUGGAGGCCAAUCUGCUCCUGUGCCUCAGGGCCAUGUCAAGGAGAUUGUAUUAGCUCCUCUGUUCUCUCAGUGUGGCAAUCUGCUUUUAAAGGUGCAAAACUUAUUUCUGGGCUAAACAGAUGAAUGGGGAUACCAUUCAGCAUCAUAAAGUCACCCCAGGACAGCUUUCCAUCCUGUCUCAAUGUAAAUACCUGAAGAGUAAGAGGACAAAAAUAAUGUGAUGUGAAGUUUCAGCAUUCUGAUUCUGGUGGGGUCCUGAGAUGAUAACAAGGCCACAUAUUGGCAAGGUAAAAG